This 426-nucleotide ribosomal RNA is filed under the name uncultured Gammaproteobacteria bacterium. RNAcentral's name for it is "bacterial SSU rRNA". It matches the Rfam family "Bacterial small subunit ribosomal RNA", at positions 356 to 774 of the family's 1533-position model. Lineage: Bacteria; Pseudomonadati; Pseudomonadota; Gammaproteobacteria. The record is from RNAcentral.
GGGGAAUAUUGGACAAUGGGCGCAAGCCUGAUCCAGCCAUGCCGCGUGGGUGAAGAAGGCCUUCGGGUUGUAAAGCCCUUUUGUUGGGAAAGAAAAGCAGCCGGCCAAUACCCGGUUGUUCUGACGGUACCCAAAGAAUAAGCACCGGCUAACUUCGUUCCAGCAGCCGCGGUAAUACGAAGGGUGCAAGCGUUACUCGGAAUUACUGGGCGUAAAGCGUGCGUAGGCGGCUUUUUAAGUCGGAUGUGAAAUCCCCGAGCUUAACUUGGGAAUUGCAUUCGAUACUGGGAAGCUAGAGUAUGGGAGAGGAUGGUAGAAUUCCAGGUGUAGCGGUGAAAUGCGUAGAGAUCUGGAGGAAUACCGAUGGCGAAGGCAGCCAUCUGGCCUAAUACUGACGCUGAGGUACGAAAGCAUGGGGAGCAAACA